AUUGGAAUUGGUUUCCCAUGUAGUUGACAUCCUGCUGCAUUUCUUCAGGAAAAGCACAUUGACCAUUAAUAUGGUCACCGCCACAUAAAUCACAAAGUUGUUGGGUCUGAGAAAUAUUCCUUAUCCCCUUUGGAAAUUCAAAAAGGACCUAUGUUAACUUGUCCAAUUUUUGGGUAAGGAGAUGAUUUUGAGCAGCCAUAGCAUCAUUAGCAGGAAGAUGCAAAAGUCCUCCUUUC
This 236-nucleotide long non-coding RNA is filed under the name Vigna radiata. RNAcentral describes it as "long non-coding RNA (VRAD_LNC011470)". Lineage: Eukaryota; Viridiplantae; Streptophyta; Magnoliopsida; Fabales; Fabaceae. The record is from RNAcentral.